GGGGCUGACCGGUUUUGACAGCAUAGUUCUUUGUAUGUGUAAGCAUGUAGUGCGUUGCGUAAUUAGCACUUAAAUCUGAAUGCGAAAACUUUAAAUGGCAAUACUUCGUAUGCCAUGGCUGCUUAAUUAUUAAUUAAGUAACCAUUAGGGCCGUUGUGUGGGCUCACCUGUUGCCACGCGCUUCCGCCGACUCAAACAUAAAACAGGUUGCUGCGGUUCCAGGCUGUGCGAAUUGCUUAAGACUAUUCAGCUAAGGAAAAAGUUGGUUUGUUUUGCUCCUGCUUUUUCCCGACAAAUAAUGCAAAAAUAAACAUGUAGAAAGCUUACGGCGAAUAUGUUUGGACCAGGGUUCGACUCCCUGCAGCUCCACUU
Molecule: transfer-messenger RNA, 372 nt
Filed under: Bacteroidota bacterium
Lineage: Bacteria; Pseudomonadati; Bacteroidota
Rfam family: transfer-messenger RNA
About the family: Bacterial tmRNA, also known as 10Sa RNA or SsrA, is named for its dual tRNA and mRNA-like properties. Its role is to liberate the mRNA from a stalled ribosome.
Source: RNAcentral